UAAACACCCUUGUUCAUAAAUCAGAAAAGGAGACAUUGUUUACAUCAAAGUCCCAUGCACAACAAAGGUGCUGGGUCUGUAAAGAGACCUAGAAACCUCGAAGAAACACCAGCUCUGAGGUUCAAGAACUGGAGCCCCCUGGACUGUGCAGUUUUGAAAAUGGAGAAAUGGUUCAGAUGGAAGAGUGCCACCUACAGGUACACAAGCAUUAUUUACAGCAGGAGCACGAUUUUCCUCAGAGACUAAAGCUGUUGACAAUUUAAAGAGGAAGAAAAAGCUGCUGGAUUCCAGAUGCCAAGGUCUCGAGUGGGAAACUUCUGAACUAUGGGAGUAGAUUAUGAUUUGCAAGGAAUGCAAUUAUACUGCACUGGCCACAGCUGCGUGGGGUGCUCAAGAGUACUAGCAGUCCAUGUGGGA
Molecule: long non-coding RNA, 417 nt
Organism: Lepisosteus oculatus (spotted gar)
Lineage: Eukaryota; Metazoa; Chordata; Actinopteri; Semionotiformes; Lepisosteidae
Source: RefSeq, a predicted model, not a curated record